UCCCUGGUGGCUCAGAUGGUAAAGAAUCUGCCUGCAACGCAGGAGACCCAGGUUCGAUCCCUAGGUCGGGAA
Molecule: transfer RNA, 72 nt
Filed under: Ovis aries (sheep)
Lineage: Eukaryota; Metazoa; Chordata; Mammalia; Artiodactyla; Bovidae
Rfam family: tRNA
About the family: Transfer RNA (tRNA) molecules are approximately 80 nucleotides in length. Their secondary structure includes four short double-helical elements and three loops (D, anti-codon, and T loops).
Source: Rfam by way of RNAcentral